GACGGAGGAUGCAAGUGUUAUCCGGAAUCACUGGGCGUAAAGCGUCUGUAGGUGGUUUAAUAAGUCAACUGUUAAAUCUUGAGGCUCAACCUCAAAAUCGCAGUCGAAACUAUUAGACUAGAGUAUAGUAGGGGUAAAGGGAAUUUCCAGUGGAGCGGUGAAAUGCGUAGAGAUUGGAAAGAACACCGAUGGCGAAGGCGCUUUACUGGGCUAUUACUAACACUCAGAGACGAAAGCUAGGGUAGCAAAUGGG
This 253-nucleotide ribosomal RNA is filed under the name uncultured bacterium. Its description in RNAcentral is "partial 16S ribosomal RNA". It matches the Rfam family "Bacterial small subunit ribosomal RNA", at positions 524 to 776 of the family's 1533-position model. The record is from RNAcentral.